CCUCGGGAGGCAGCAGUGGGGAAUAUUGGGCAAUGGGCGCAAGCCUGACCCAGCAACGCCGCGUGAAGGAAGAAGGCUUUCGGGUUGUAAACUUCUUUUGUCAGGGACGAAGCAAGUGACGGUACCUGACGAAUAAGCCACGGCUAACUACGUGCCAGCAGCCGCGGUAAUACGUAGGUGGCAAGCGUUAUCCGGAUUUACUGGGUGUAAAGGGCGUGUAGGCGGGGAAGCAAGUCAGAUGUGAAAACCACGGGCUCAACCUGUGGCCUGCAUUUGAAACUGUUUUUCUUGAGUGAAGUAGAGGUUGGCGGAAUUCCGAGUGUAGCGGUGAAAUGCGUAGAUAUUCGGAGGAACACCGGUGGCGAAGGCGGCCAACUGGGCUUUAACUGACGCUGAGGCUCGAAAGUGUGGGGAGCAAACAGGAUUAGAUACCCGAGUAGUC
Molecule: ribosomal RNA, 442 nt
Filed under: uncultured bacterium
Lineage: Bacteria
Description: partial 16S ribosomal RNA
Rfam family: Bacterial small subunit ribosomal RNA
Source: RNAcentral